GUGGGGAAUCUUAGACAAUGGGGGAAACCCUGAUCUAGCCAUGCCGCGUGAGCGAUGAAGGCCUUAGGGUUGUAAAGCUCUUUCAGCUGGGAAGAUAAUGACGGUACCAGCAGAAGAAGCCCCGGCUAACUCCGUGCCAGCAGCCGCGGUAAUACGGAGGGGGCUAGCGUUGUUCGGAAUUACUGGGCGUAAAGCGCGCGUAGGCGGACCAGAAAGUUGGAGGUGAAAUCCCAGGGCUCAACCUUGGAACUGCCUUCAAAACUCCUGGUCUGGAGUUCGAGAGAGGUGAGUGGAAUUCCGAGUGUAGAGGUGAAAUUCGUAGAUAUUCGGAGGAACACCAGUGGCGAAGGCGGCUCACUGGCUCAAUACUGACGCUGAGGUGCGAAAGCGUGGGGAGCAAACAGGAUUAGAUACCCUAGUAGUCC
This 425-nucleotide ribosomal RNA is filed under the name uncultured bacterium. RNAcentral describes it as "partial 16S ribosomal RNA". It matches the Rfam family "Bacterial small subunit ribosomal RNA", at positions 354 to 796 of the family's 1533-position model. The record is from RNAcentral.